Hemicordylus capensis (graceful crag lizard) is the source of this 2808-nucleotide long non-coding RNA. RefSeq lists it as uncharacterized. The record is from RefSeq and is a predicted model, not a curated record. NCBI's taxonomy places the organism in Eukaryota, Metazoa, Chordata, Lepidosauria, Squamata, Cordylidae. The transcript has 4 exons.
GUGGCAUCCUAAAAACUAGCAGAUUUAUUGUAGCAUAAGCUUUUAGGGGGAAAACGGCCAAGCUUCAAGAGUGUCGUCUGACACAAGAGUUCUCAUCUGACGUUUUACUGGAGGCGAAAGCUGCGUGUAAAUCUACAAAGCGUGGUGUCCAGAUUUUGGAGCAUUCCAGAUUUCGGAUGUCCAGAUGAGGGAUACUCAACCUGUAUCAGAAUCAGAUUUGCAGUGUGGGGUAGAGAAGUAAUAACCCUUUGACCGUGCUGUAGUCCCAAUCCCAUCCCUAUAAGUGCUACUUACCUAACAAAAAACAAGCACACCAGAACUAAUGAUGCAAUUAAUGUAAUGUGUAGUUUGGCACUUGGAUGCAACUUGGAAAUGCACUUUAACUGCUAUAAUUCUAAUUCAGCUUUAACAUAGUGUGGGUGAUAAGGAACCAGGGUCGAAGACAUGUUGGAGUCAGGGUGGCAGAGGAAUGAUAACACCUGGGCCAGAAUUCUGAAUUUGGGUAUACCAGUGCAUCUGAAUGUCCAGCUCAAAUUGGACUGACCUGAUGGCCUAAGAGCUGAUUGAACCAAAGAAGCAUCAAAAGAACCACAGGUAUAACUGUUCUGGAUCUAGGGCUGGGAAGCCAGACUGAAGCAAGCCCACCUUGAUAGCUUCUCUCCAACACAUGUGUUGCUUUACUUUGCUCCCCAGCUACUCUGCACAUCUCUUUGCUUUGACUCUACAAUCAACAGCACCACUGUUGUGAUUGAUUCAAUCAAUCUGGCCAAUUGAUCAAGUCCUGCAAUGUUUUGAAUUGGACUUUUCUCCUAAACUUCUCCCUCGCUUUCUCCUUCAAAUUCCCCAUCCUUCUUACAUUCCCCUCCCUUCAGAAUUGUAAUCUGACAAUUUAGGGACUUUAGCCUGCUUGCCUAGCCUCUUUUCUGUAUGCCCCAUAUUUUCUUCAGUAAAAGUACCAAAAGACAAUUCCUGGUUUGGUCUUUGCCUCUCUCCUCACACACCUAUGGGAUGGAUGAACUCCACAUAAAGGUGUCUUUCUGCUGCAGACUCUGUAAGUCUGCAGUGAUGGUGCAGUAUUUAGACUGCAGCCUGACAGUACAGGUGGAGUAGUCUCACAGUGGCUGAGCCCUUAGCUAGGACAGAUUUGCAGCAGUCCAAUUGGGAGCACUUCUUAGGUGCUAGCCCAACCAUAGCAGUAAAAUCCAACAAAGUGAUGGUGUUACACUUAACUGGGUGAGCAGCCUGAUUGUGGUGGUACAGCCCUCUGGUUGUAGCCUGACUGUGACGGUGCUACCUCUAACUGGGUCAGCAGCCUGAUAAAGGGGACGGUGCAGGGUUUACAAAGGUGAGGGUGCAGCUUGACACUGACGGUACAGCCUUUUGGCUGCAGCAUGACAUAACAGGUUAGGAGCAAUUCAAAUAAGCAAUCCAGUGUAGGCAGCCCCUCUCCAAAGAGAGGAACUAGAAAGGAAAGGACAGGACACCUGGGCUUCCAGUUAAAUUGGCACAUAUUGGUCUGAAAUUAUUGGUGAAGGUGUAGUCGCAGAUACUGCAGCUGAACAAACUAUUUGGUGACAGUGCAGAUGUAAAACUGCAGCCUGACAAAUUGCCAUUAAGUGAGGGUGCAGCCACUGGAUUUAGUUGGACAGCUCACUGAUGACAGCCCGCUGCUGCCAUCUGGUGACGCAUCGAUAAAUCCCUGCUGCAGCUGGACAGGAAAAAAAAUGGUUCCUGUGGCUUAGAGCAAAUUCUCUGCCAAUCAAACAGGGAGCUCCCUUUGUUUGUAGCAAUAAAGUGAUGCACAGGCAAUGGGAGGGGAAAUGUGUUGGGGAUUCCAAAAAGAAUGGAUAGCAGUGGGCAAGUGGAGGGAGGCGGGGAGUUGAAACACAUGUUUUUAAUAUGAAAGCUACCUGUGUGGAAGGAAGAAGUGGGGAAAUGUGGAAAGAGAGGCAGUCCAUGUGAAUAGCGCUUGUCAACUCUGCUUUGUAUUUAUCACACUUCCUUAUGCAAUAAACCUCUCCAUCUGGAAAACUUCUUAAAGUCCCAUUAAGUUCAGUGUGACUUCUGGGCUUCCACAUAACUAUGUGUGAUGUGCCUUUCCCCACUGCUUUCAAUAACAUAUUCACAUUCUAUUUGUUUAAUCUUCAGAUUGCUGAACAUCCAUUUUUUGUGUAUAUAACUCCUACCAAAAUAUUCCUCUGAAAACCUAGAAAUGUGCACAACCUUCUUGACAAACCAGAGAAAUUUCUCACCGUUUUCUAGGCUAAUUUACUAAGUAUAUGCCACCAGCUAUAUGUCACAGUAUAGAUGUUCUUAUCACUUGGCUAAAGAAACAGCUCUUGCAAUGGUUUUGCAGACCUAACUACUUAAAUUAUUUACCUGUGUCUUCAUCAAAUAUAGAUUUAGCUUCCAUCUUCUUCUUGGCACUCCUUUCUUUAGGUUUUACAGCAAGAUCAGCAAAGAUGUCAACAUCAUCAUCAAAAAGAUUUACUUCCAGUUCUUUUGUUUUGACAGGCAGCUUAACAGCUUCUGAUGCAAAUAUAUCAUCCUUGAACAAAGAAAGUGAAGCUUCAGUAUAAGGGAGGUGUUUAUAACCACAUAUCCUCUUCCUGGCUACUCAUUUUAUCUUGUAAACAUGCCGGUUAGACUGACCACUUUUUUGUUGCUGGCAAAAAGAUCAACAUCAGGAUCAUUGUCUUUCUGCAGCUUAUGACUGAAGAGAAGUUCUUCAUCUUGGAAGACUCCUGUACUCUUGGGACACACAGUUUUCUCUGGAGGCUGGAAAGGAAAUAAACACUAUUAAUCAUU